Phragmites australis (common reed) is the source of this 683-nucleotide long non-coding RNA. RefSeq lists it as uncharacterized. The record is from RefSeq and is a predicted model, not a curated record. NCBI's taxonomy places the organism in Eukaryota, Viridiplantae, Streptophyta, Magnoliopsida, Poales, Poaceae. The transcript is spliced from 2 exons.
UGCUCAUCGACGAGAAGUGAAUAAUGCAACAUGUUGGUAAGUUGUCCCUCCCAGCGGCCUUGAUAAAAGCCAGCUCGUACCCUUGUUCUUUUGGCCUGAUUUCUAGAUGGGGGAGGUGCUCGAGUCUCUCAUUUUAUAUGCAUUUUGCACUAAGAAUGAUUGUGUUCUACAACCUUUGAUUGGUUACUGGAUUUUUGCUUGUCCAGUUUUGGAGCUUUGGCGAUGAAGACGUGAAGGUGGUGGCUCGGAUCAGAUCCUUUCAAUAGUGCUACAACGCUUGCUCUUGGUCUCACCACCCGAAGGAACAAGCAGCGGUGAUGCGCGACCACGAGCCAGCAUUGGUGAACCAAGUCAUGGCAUUGUUGCAGGGUAUGGGGUGCCAUCAACUGGUGACGAUGACCUCCAGCUGGUUACAUGUUCGAUGAAAUGAUUGAAUAGGUUGCCGUCAUCUAUCAAUUUGUAUGGAGGGAUGCACAACCAACCAGUGAGGCAUUUUGUGCAUUUCUAUGGUUUCCCCUUUUCGAUUUAUAGAUAUUCUAUAGAGACAACAAAAGCAAAAUUAAUUGCUUAUUGGUAGCUGCAUCCCCUCAUUUUUCAACUCAUUUUUAUUUGUGCACUGGGAAUUUGUUAUUGUGGAGAAAGGUUUUAAGAUAUUAUUUGUGGCUGAGAAUGGUAGUCUGAUA